UACAAUUGCUGGAGAUUGCGAUUACAUCAAGAUCGAAAGCGCCGUAAUGUGAGUGGCAAACGGGUGAGUAACGCGUGGGAAUCUACCUUAUAGUACGGGAUAGCCUCGGGAAACUGGGAUUAAUACCGUAUACUCCCUUCGGGGGAAAGAUUUAUCGCUAUAAGAUGAGCCCGCGUCAGAUUAGCUAGUUGGUGGGGUAAAAGCCUACCAAGGCAACGAUCUGUAGCUGGUCUGAGAGGACGAUCAGCCACACUGGGACUGAGACACGGCCCAGACUCCUACGGGAGGCAGCAGUGGGGAAUAUUGGACAAUGGACGCAAGUCUGAUCCAGCAAUGCCGCGUGAAUGAUGAAGGCCUUAGGGUUGUAAAGUUCUUUUAGUGGGGAAGAUAAUGACGGUACCCACAGAAAAAGCACCGGCUAACUUCGUGCCAGCCGCCGCCGUAA
This 445-nucleotide ribosomal RNA is filed under the name uncultured bacterium. Its description in RNAcentral is "partial 16S ribosomal RNA". It matches the Rfam family "Bacterial small subunit ribosomal RNA", at positions 68 to 523 of the family's 1533-position model. The record is from RNAcentral.